Molecule: ribosomal RNA, 497 nt
Filed under: uncultured bacterium
Lineage: Bacteria
Description: partial 16S ribosomal RNA
Rfam family: Bacterial small subunit ribosomal RNA
Source: RNAcentral
GAUGAACGCUGGCGGCGUGCCUAAUACAUGCAAGUCGAGCGAACAGACGAGGAGCUUGCUCCUCUGACGUUAGCGGCGGACGGGUGAGUAACACGUGGAUAACCUACCUAUAAGACUGGGAUAACUUCGGGAAACCGGAGCUAAUACCGGAUAAUCUAUUGAACCGCAUGGUUCAAUAGUGAAAGACGGUUUUGCUGUAACUUAUAGCUGGAUCCGCGCCGCAUUAGCUAGUUGGUAAGGUAACGGCUUACCAAGGCAACGAUGCGUAGCCGACCUGAGAGGGUGAUCGGCCACACUGGAACUGAGACACGGUCCAGACGCCUACGAGAGGCAGCAGUAGGGAAUCUUCCGCAAUGGGCGAAAACUUGACGGAGCAACGCCGCGUGAGUGAUGAAGGUCUUCGGAUCGUAAAACUCUGUUAUUAGGGAAGAACAAAUGUGUAAGUAACUAUGCACGUCUUGACGGUACCUAGUCAGAAAGCCACGGCUAACUACGUG